AAGUCGUGCAAAUCGAUAUAUUUUGAAAAGAACAACUAGCAAAAAAAUUGUAGUAGAUUAAUUUGG
Molecule: transfer RNA, 66 nt
Filed under: Cloeon dipterum
Lineage: Eukaryota; Metazoa; Arthropoda; Insecta; Ephemeroptera; Baetidae
Description: tRNA-Leu
Source: RNAcentral